RNAcentral lists this ribosomal RNA (501 nucleotides) under uncultured bacterium. RNAcentral describes it as "partial 16S ribosomal RNA". It matches the Rfam family "Bacterial small subunit ribosomal RNA", at positions 30 to 523 of the family's 1533-position model. The record is from RNAcentral.
AUUGAACGCUGGCGGCAGGCUUAACACAUGCAAGUCGAGCGGGGGAAGGUAGCUUGCUACCGGACCUAGCGGCGGACGGGUGAGUAAUGCUUAGGAAUCUGCCUAUUAGUGGGGGACAACAUCUCGAAAGGGAUGCUAAUACCGCAUACGUCCUACGGGAGAAAGCAGGGGAUCUUCGGACCUUGCGCUAAUAGAUGAGCCUAAGUCGGAUUAGCUAGUUGGUGGGGUAAAGGCCUACCAAGGCGACGAUCUGUAGCGGGUCUGAGAGGAUGAUCGGUCACACGGGGACUAAGACACGGCGCAGAAUCCUACGGGAGGCAGCAGUGGGGAAGAGUGGACAAUGGGGUGAACCCUGAUCCAACCAUGCCGCGUGUGUGAAGAAGGCCUUAUGGUUGUAAAGCACUUUAAGCGAGGAGGAGGCUACUUUAGUUAAUACCUAGAGAUAGUGGACGUUACUCGCAGAAUAAGCACCGGCUAACUCUGUGCCAGCCGCCGCGGUAA